Pseudopipra pipra is the source of this 1676-nucleotide long non-coding RNA. RefSeq lists it as uncharacterized. The transcript has 3 exons. Lineage: Eukaryota; Metazoa; Chordata; Aves; Passeriformes; Pipridae. The record is from RefSeq and is a predicted model, not a curated record.
UCCCCCUAGUACUACGAGGCUCAUCAAUUAAGGCUUGACCUUUUCCAGUUGUGGGUGCCAUCCGGCCUGCCUUUGGCAAAGAAGGAGCAUUCAGGUUGAGUCAGGGAGGUAAUGAGGAGGUCCUGGGGUCUCCCUUACUUUCAGAAACACCAUGUAACUUUUUUUCUCACUCACCCAGGUACAGCAGAUGGUGACGGCAGCAGCCUCCAACUCGGGUCAGAGCCAGUGGCCUGAGAACCUCUCAGCUCAGGGGAGGGUGAGUAGCCAAUUGCGGGGUUAUCACCCACGUGCUUCUGGACUCUUGCGUCAGUUUCGGUUUUCUUUCUCGUAGCGACCGAGUCAGGGAUUGCACGACCCUGUGAGCCAGCCAGGCAUCCUUCCUUUGCAUCGAAGAUGGAUUCACAUCCCCGACUAUGGGAAAGAUAAGUGGAGGACUCCCACCUGGAGAGGGGAUGAGAGCUGGGUCCAGUUUUAUGGUUAGGAGGGAGGGAUUUUCAAAUGAGCCCAGGGGAAAGGGUCUGCCCUAACAGGCCCUUGGCACACAUAAGAGGAGCAGUUUACUUUUCAUCAGCGGAGUAGGAUGUGCAGGGCAGAGCCGUUCAGGUCUGUGUCAUGUCCUUUGUCCAGUCUGUGUUUCGUGUCUUACACUUCAUAAUCACCGUGUCUUUGCUUUCUGCCCUCAAAGUUAUUAUCUGAGAUGUCAAGGCAUCAUUCCUAGGGUCUUGAACCUUUGCACUGCCCAACCCAGUGCCCAUACUAUCCAUUCUUUGGCUCGCUAGCUUGGACGUGCAUCAGAAUUGCAUCUGAGAAGUGUCAGGUCAGGUGUCUUUUACAGCCUCCUUACAGGUUGUAUCGGUGGCUGUGCCGUGCAGUCAUCCCUUGUCAUCCCACCUAGGACUUGUGAGAAUCUAAGAAGAUUCUGAACAUAGCAUUGUCUCCCAUCCAUCUUAGCAAUUUUGAAGGCAGUUCUUGUCCCAGGCCAUUCUGUUAGAGUGUGUUUUCAGGCUCCUCAGAGCCUCCUCCGUUCAGUCUCGCCAUAUCCUCCAUCUUCUCGUGCGGUAGCACAUCCAUUUUGGCGUCGUUCCUUUCUCAGAGUUCUCUCUCCUCGUUGCACCACAGCACUUGUCUGGAAAUGUGUCCUUGGAGUUUGUGUUGGGCCUGGAACUGCUCUGCCCUGCAGUGUAGACUUGGGGUGUUUGUUUGUGCAGGCUGUCUUUGGACCCCAGAGGGCUUGUCUAAGGAGAAAUUAGAAUUGCACAGCAGUUAAUGUUGCCCUGUCUAUAUGGCUGACUUUGCUAACUCAUUUCUUUGCAGCAUCAGAGAGGCUGGAUGUAAAGCAGAGAUGAACAGAGGAGGCUGGAGGAGCACAGUCAGAAGAUGCAGAGCCCUCAGCCCAGCAGACGAUAGGCACCAGAGGGAAGGUGAGCCCAGUGAGCAAGGUGAGCAGUGACUGCAGGACAAAACUAGCUGCUCUUUUGGAGGCGGUGUAUUUGUGGUGAAUCUGUGUACAUACUUGUUUUUUUGUUUUACAGGUAGUGCACUGACUUCUAACGUACAGUCCAAUGUGACAGGGACCCUGCCUGUAAGAGGUCACGGUCAAGGGGUGUCAGACAGAAACUGCCAUGGGAGCAGCAAACUCUUGGACAGUAUCUAACUACUCACACUUGCCUCUGGGU